This is a long non-coding RNA of Tripterygium wilfordii, 1430 nucleotides long. RefSeq lists it as uncharacterized. The record is from RefSeq and is a predicted model, not a curated record. NCBI's taxonomy places the organism in Eukaryota, Viridiplantae, Streptophyta, Magnoliopsida, Celastrales, Celastraceae. The transcript is spliced from 4 exons.
AAAUUUAUUUUUCUACCUGAUGUCUGCCUAUGGAACUACUGUUGUGGGAAGUGGCGGUAAACUAUUUAGAUUGAUUGUAUGAUUGGUCCAAAAGACCAUUUUUUCUCCAGAUCUAUGAAACUGCAUGAUAAAGUUAUUACUUUGAUCUUGCUACUGACAUUAAUGCUCAAAUCUUCUUAUCAAUUUGUAAUACUUGAACUCUUGAAGUCUGAUAAAUGUUGGACUCAAAUUUGGUUGUUGCUAGAUGCGAAUUUUGGUGUCUUCUUAUAUGCUUAAUUAGAGUGCCGUUUUGAAAUGAAUUGAUAGUUUUUGGCUAUGUUGAUUUGUCAUCAGCUUGGAAAGAUGGUAUUGAUGAUUUCUUGGAGAUAUGAUCACCUUUUGGUUACCAGUUUGUAUUUAUUUAUUUGAUUUCGUUGAUUUCAUUACUGCCUAUGAACAUCUAGAAUGAGGGGAAGUGGGCAUAUAUUCUUAUGCCUCAAAUUUAAGAACUUUAUUUGAACUUUGAAAUUGAUAUUGCUCUAUCAUUCUCUAGUUUCUAUUUUUGAAGGGUGAGUGGGAGGAUAAGAGUAAAAAAAGGUAAACAACACCUGUGCAAAAGGCUAGGACAUGCAAGAUAUACGCAUACCUUAUCUCACAUAAUAUAUAGAGAGGCUUGAAAGGAAAAAAUUUGCAAGUAAGAAAAUUUUGGGGGGUAUUGUAGACAUUACAAAGCAGUCUUGAAAUCCCCCAAGCCAAAACUCUUUGUUAUGGGAACUCGAGAUGAAUUUACCAGUGUAAAGCAAUUGGAGAGCAAGUUGCGUUCUGCCUGUGGGCGUGUUGAAAAACAUCUAAUUGAAGGAGCAGGUCACUUCGAGAUGGAAGGAAGUUAGCCACCCACUGAUCUGGCCUCUGUGAUUUCACAGUAAAAUUAGGGCAUCUGUACGUGUAUGAAUACGAUCACCAAACAAGAUAGGCCUACUAUCAUACAAUCUUCUCUUGCUGAUCAUCGCUUGCAACUUUAUUGCCAUCUGCACCUUCAAGUAGCCUACCUUCACCAUCCCGAUUAAACGGCUGUUUUGUCCAGCCUUGCUCUUGGUCCUUCGAGCGUCCUGGAAAUGGAUGUUCUCCAUCUGCUUUGAAGACAGAAAAAGUUGACAAGGUUUUGUCACCAGCAAGAUAAAGCAAAAAACCCUUGCUGCCUCCUAGUGAGGCAUUAUUUGCACUGCAGAAAGGAGAUCUCAAUCGCACAAACCAAAAUCAAGCAUGGCAAUGAUCAUAAAUCCUCUUCUUUUAUGGGUCAUUGUACAAUUAAUUAAUAUGGCCAAGGGCUCGAUGCAUGACUAAAGUGACACCAAAACUCAAAAUUUCAGAUACAGAAAGCAUAUUAAUGGAAUAUUUUCAACAGACCAUAUUGGUCCAUUCUACUGAAUAUCAAGAGAAAAAUUGAAUAA